Molecule: ribosomal RNA, 218 nt
Filed under: uncultured bacterium
Lineage: Bacteria
Description: partial 16S ribosomal RNA
Rfam family: Bacterial small subunit ribosomal RNA
Source: RNAcentral
CCAAAGAGUCUGGAAUAACCGGCCGAAAGGCUGGCUAAUACUGGAUAGAUCAAGUGAGAUAUAACGUCUCGAUUGGGAAAGGGAGCGGGUAACCGCCUUCGCUUUUUGAUGAGCCCGCGUCUGAUUAGCUAGUUGGUGAGGUAAUGGCUCACCAAGGCUGAGAUCAGUAGCUGGUCUGAGAGGAUGAUCAGCCACACUGGAACUGAAACACGGUCCAG